Molecule: ribosomal RNA, 254 nt
Filed under: uncultured bacterium
Lineage: Bacteria
Description: partial 16S ribosomal RNA
Rfam family: Bacterial small subunit ribosomal RNA
Source: RNAcentral
UACGUAGGGGGCAAGCGUUAUCCAGAUUUACUGGGCGUAAAGCGCGUGUAGGCGGCUGGUUAGGCGUGAUGUGAAAUCUUCCGGCUCAACCGGAAAACUGCAUUGCGAACCGGCCUGGCUAGAGUGCAGGAGAGGGAAGCGGAAUUCCAGGUGUAGCGGUGAAAUGCGUAGAUAUCGGGAAGAACCCCCGUGGCGAAGGCGGCUCUCUGGGACGGUACUGACGCUGAGACGCGAAAGCGUGGGGAGCGAACAGG